GCGGGUGUAGCUCAGGGGUAGAGCGCGACCUUGCCAAGGUCGAAGUCGAGGGUUCGAAUCCCUUCACCCGCUCCA
This 75-nucleotide transfer RNA is filed under the name Rickettsia canadensis str. McKiel. RNAcentral describes it as "tRNA-Gly (GCC) (tRNA-Gly-GCC-1-1)". It matches the Rfam family "tRNA". From Rfam's summary of the family: Transfer RNA (tRNA) molecules are approximately 80 nucleotides in length. Their secondary structure includes four short double-helical elements and three loops (D, anti-codon, and T loops). Further hydrogen bonds mediate the characteristic L-shaped molecular structure. tRNAs have two regions of fundamental functional importance: the anti-codon, which is responsible for specific mRNA codon recognition, and the 3' end, to which the tRNAs corresponding amino acid is attached (by aminoacyl-tRNA synthetases). tRNAs cope with the degeneracy of the genetic code in two manners: having more than one tRNA (with a specific anti-codon) for a particular amino acid; and 'wobble' base-pairing, i.e. permitting non-standard base-pairing at the 3rd anti-codon position. The record is from RNAcentral. Lineage: Bacteria; Pseudomonadati; Pseudomonadota; Alphaproteobacteria; Rickettsiales; Rickettsiaceae. RNAcentral also lists the same sequence under 2 other names.